Oncorhynchus tshawytscha (Chinook salmon) is the source of this 260-nucleotide long non-coding RNA. NCBI's taxonomy places the organism in Eukaryota, Metazoa, Chordata, Actinopteri, Salmoniformes, Salmonidae. The record is from Ensembl.
GGUGACUCACCUCCAAAACACCUCAUUCUCCCCUGGGGUUGACAUCUCUACGGUGACUCACCUCCAAAACACCUCAUUCCCCCCUGACUCCCCUGAGGUUGACAUCUCUACGGUGACUCACCUCCAAAACACCUCAUUCCCCACUGACUCCCCUGAGGUUGACAUCUCUACGGUGACUCACCUCCAAAACACCUCAUUCGCCCCUGACUCCCCUGAGGUUGACAUCUCUACGGUGACUCACCUCCAAAACACCUCAUUCC